AAAAAACGACUCUCGGCAACGGAUAUCUCGGCUCUCGCAUCGAUGAAGAAUGGCGAAAUGCGAUACUUGGUGUGAAUUGCAGAAUCCCGUGAACCAUCGAGUCUUUGAACGCAAGUUGCGCCCGAAGCCGUCAGGCCGAGGGCACGUCUGCCUGGGCGUCACG
This 163-nucleotide ribosomal RNA is filed under the name Convolvulus acanthocladus. RNAcentral describes it as "5.8S ribosomal RNA". It matches the Rfam family "5.8S ribosomal RNA". Rfam says of the family: 5.8S ribosomal RNA (5.8S rRNA) is a component of the large subunit of the eukaryotic ribosome. It is transcribed by RNA polymerase I as part of the 45S precursor that also contains 18S and 28S rRNA. The record is from RNAcentral. Lineage: Eukaryota; Viridiplantae; Streptophyta; Magnoliopsida; Solanales; Convolvulaceae.